GAUGAACGCUGGCGGCGUGCCUAAUACAUGCAAGUCGAGCGAACGGACGAGAAGCUUGCUUCUCUGAUGUUAGCGGCGGACGGGUGAGUAACACGUGGAUAACCUACCUAUAAGACUGGGAUAACUUCGGGAAACCGGAGCUAAUACCGGAUAAUAUUUUGAACCGCAUGGUUCAAAAGUGAAAGACGGUCUUGCUGUCACUUAUAGAUGGAUCCGCGCUGCAUUAGCUAGUUGGUAAGGUAACGGCUUACCAAGGCAACGAUGCAUAGCCGACCUGAGGGGGUGAUCGGCCACACUGGAACUGAGGCACGGUCCAGACUCCGACGGGAGGCAGCAGUAGGGAAUCUUCCGCGAUGGGCGAGAGCCUGACGGUGCAACGCCGCGUGAGUGAUGAAGGUCUUCGGAUCGUAAAACUCUGUUAUUAGUGAAGAACAUAUGUGUAAGUAACUGUGCACAUCUUGACGGUACCUAAUCAGAAAGCCACGGCUAACUACGUG
This 497-nucleotide ribosomal RNA is filed under the name uncultured bacterium. Its description in RNAcentral is "partial 16S ribosomal RNA". It matches the Rfam family "Bacterial small subunit ribosomal RNA", at positions 28 to 507 of the family's 1533-position model. The record is from RNAcentral.